RNAcentral lists this ribosomal RNA (269 nucleotides) under uncultured bacterium. Its description in RNAcentral is "partial 16S ribosomal RNA". It matches the Rfam family "Bacterial small subunit ribosomal RNA", at positions 88 to 353 of the family's 1533-position model. The record is from RNAcentral.
CCGGCGACCGGCGCACGGGUGAGUAACACGUAUGCAACCUGGCCGUGACAGAUGGAUAACCGGGAGAAAUCCCGCCUAAUACAGCAUGACGCCGGGAAGGGACAUCCCCUUUCCGGCCAAGGGGGCGACUCCGGUCACGGAUGGGCAUGCGGCGCAUUAGGUAGUUGGUGGGGCAACGGCCCACCAAGCCGACGAUGCGUAGGGGUUCUGAGAGGAAGGUCCCCCACACUGGUACUGAGACACGGACCAGACUCCUACGGGAGGCAGCA